RNAcentral lists this ribosomal RNA (594 nucleotides) under Bacillus pumilus. Its description in RNAcentral is "bacterial SSU rRNA". It matches the Rfam family "Bacterial small subunit ribosomal RNA", at positions 565 to 1159 of the family's 1533-position model. Lineage: Bacteria; Bacillati; Bacillota; Bacilli; Caryophanales; Bacillaceae. The record is from RNAcentral.
GGGCUCGCAGGCGGUUUCUUAAGUCUGAUGUGAAAGCCCCCGGCUCAACCGGGGAGGGUCAUUGGAAACUGGGAAACUUGAGUGCAGAAGAGGAGAGUGGAAUUCCACGUGUAGCGGUGAAAUGCGUAGAGAUGUGGAGGAACACCAGUGGCGAAGGCGACUCUCUGGUCUGUAACUGACGCUGAGGAGCGAAAGCGUGGGGAGCGAACAGGAUUAGAUACCCUGGUAGUCCACGCCGUAAACGAUGAGUGCUAAGUGUUAGGGGGUUUCCGCCCCUUAGUGCUGCAGCUAACGCAUUAAGCACUCCGCCUGGGGAGUACGGUCGCAAGACUGAAACUCAAAGGAAUUGACGGGGGCCCGCACAAGCGGUGGAGCAUGUGGUUUAAUUCGAAGCAACGCGAAGAACCUUACCAGGUCUUGACAUCCUCUGACAACCCUAGAGAUAGGGCUUUCCCUUCGGGGACAGAGUGACAGGUGGUGCAUGGUUGUCGUCAGCUCGUGUCGUGAGAUGUUGGGUUAAGUCCCGCAACGAGCGCAACCCUUGAUCUUAGUUGCCAGCAUUUAGUUGGGCACUCUAAGGUGACUGCCGGUGAC